GACGAACGCUGGCGGCGUGCCUAAUACAUGCAAGUUGAGCGCUGAAGGUUGGUACUUGUACCAACUGGUUGAGCAGCAAACGUGUGAGUAACGCGUCGGGAAUCUGCCUUUGAGCGGGGGACAACAUUUGGAAACGAAUGCUAAUACCGCAAAAAAACUUUAAACACAAGUUUUAAGUUUGAAAGAUGCAAUUGCAUCACUCAAAGAUGAUCUCGCGGUGUAUUAGCUAGUUGGUGAGGUAAAGGCUCACCAAGGCGAUGAUACAUAGCCGACCUGAUAGGGUGAUCGGACCCAAUGGGACUGAGACAAGGCCCAAACUCCUACGGGAGGCAGCAGUAGGGAAUAUUCGGCAAUGGACGAAAGUCUGACCGAGCAAAGCCGCGUGAGUGAAGAAGGUUUUCGGAUCGUAAAACUCUGUUGGUAGAGAAGAACGUUGGUGAGGGGGGAAAGCUCAUCAAGUGACGGUAACUACCGAGAAAGGGACGGCUAACUACGUG
This 497-nucleotide ribosomal RNA is filed under the name uncultured bacterium. RNAcentral's name for it is "partial 16S ribosomal RNA". It matches the Rfam family "Bacterial small subunit ribosomal RNA", at positions 28 to 507 of the family's 1533-position model. The record is from RNAcentral.